AAGCGUUCUCCACACUAAUGAAGGUCUUCGAAAGGAGUUGGCCCAGACCAAGGAAGAUGCGAAAUCGUCCAAUGAAGAAUUGAAGUCAACCAAGGCCCAAUACCAAGAGAUCGUCAAGAUGAACGUUGACUUGGUUCAGAGGAGUGAAAUAAGGAGAAGAUCAAAGAACUGAAGGCUAACACUAAGAUCCUGACCAAAUCGAUUUCAAAGCUGGAGUUACAAGAGACUCUCCAUCUGAAUAGGCGUCAGAAGCUCGAAGAGGAAAUCAGGGAACUCCGGGCUCUUCGGGAUCUGGGACGUCCCUUAACUGAUGAUCUCCGCAAGCAGAUCUGCGAAGAGUAUCGGAAAUCAGACGAGAUCAAUGGAGAGAUCAUGAAAAUAUACUCUGAAGGCUAUGAGUUUUGUCGAAGUCGUGGUAAAGAAAAACUGAUAUCAGCCAAGGUGGACCCGG
RNAcentral lists this long non-coding RNA (451 nucleotides) under Panax ginseng (ginseng). RNAcentral's name for it is "long non-coding RNA (PGIN_LNC009903)". Lineage: Eukaryota; Viridiplantae; Streptophyta; Magnoliopsida; Apiales; Araliaceae. The record is from RNAcentral.